GAUGAACGCUGGCGGCGGGCCUAAUACAUGCAAGUCGAGCGAACAGACGAGGAGCUUGCUCCUCUGACGUUAGCGGCGGACGGGUGAGUAAAACGUGGAUAACCUACCUAGGAGACUGGGAUAACUUCGGGAAACCGGUGCUAAUACCGGAUAAUAUAUUGAACCGCAUGGUUCAAUAGUGAAAGACGGUUUUGCUGUCACUGAUAGAUGGAUCCGCGCCGCAUUAGCUAGUUGGUCAGGUAACGGCUUACCAAGGCAACGAUGCGUAGCCGACCUGAGAGGAUGAUCGGCCACACUGGAACUGAGACACGGUCCAGACUCCUACGGGAGGCAGCAGUAGGGAAUCUUCCGCAAUGGGCGAAAGCCUGACGGAGCAACGCCGCGUGAGUGAUGAAGGUCUUCGGAUCGUAAAACUCUGUUAUUAGGGAAGAACAAAUGUGUAAGUAACUCUGCACGUCUUGACGGUACCAACACAGAAAGCCACGGCUAACUACGUG
RNAcentral lists this ribosomal RNA (497 nucleotides) under uncultured bacterium. Its description in RNAcentral is "partial 16S ribosomal RNA". It matches the Rfam family "Bacterial small subunit ribosomal RNA", at positions 28 to 507 of the family's 1533-position model. The record is from RNAcentral.